This 468-nucleotide ribosomal RNA is filed under the name uncultured bacterium. RNAcentral describes it as "partial 16S ribosomal RNA". It matches the Rfam family "Bacterial small subunit ribosomal RNA", at positions 28 to 507 of the family's 1533-position model. The record is from RNAcentral.
GACGAACGCUGGCGGCGUGCUUAACACAUGCGAGUCGAACGGAAAGGCCCUGCUUUUGUGGGGUGCUCGAGUGGCGAACGGGUGAGUAACACGUGAGUAACCUGCCCUUGACUUUGGGAUAACUUCAGGAAACUGGGGCUAAUACCGGAUAGGAGCUCCUGCUGCAUGGGGGGGGUUGGAAAGUUUCGGCGGUUGGGGAUGGACUCGCGGCUUAUCAGCUUGGUGGUGGGGUAGUGGCUUACCAAGGCUUUGACGGGUAGCCGGCCUGGGAGGGUGACCGGCCACAAUGGGACUGAGGUACGGCCCAGACUCCUACGGGAGGCAGCGGUGGGGAAUAUUGCACAAUGGGCGGAAGCCUGAUGCAGCAACGCCGCGUGCGGGAUGACGGCCUUCGGGUUGUAAACCGCUUUCGCCUGUGACGAAGCGUGAGUGACGGUAAUGGGUAAAGAAGCACCGGCUAACUACGUG